Molecule: ribosomal RNA, 864 nt
Filed under: uncultured bacterium
Lineage: Bacteria
Description: bacterial SSU rRNA
Rfam family: Bacterial small subunit ribosomal RNA
Source: RNAcentral
GUUUGAUCCUGGCUCAGGAUGAACGCUGGCGGUAUGCUUUACACAUGCAAGUCGUACGAGAGUUUUUAACUCAAGUGGCGGACGGGUGAGUAACACGUAAGAAUUUGCCUUUAGGAGGGGGACAACAACUGGAAACGGUUGCUAAUACCCCAUAUGCUUUCGAGUGAAAUGGUUUUUCCGCCUAAAGAGAAGCUUGCGGCUGAUUAGCUUGUUGGUAAGGUAAUGGCUUACCAAGGCGACGAUCAGUAUCUGGUUUGAGAGGACGAUCAGACACACUGGAACUGAGACACGGUCCAGACUCCUACGGGAGGCAGCAGUGGGGAAUUUUCCGCAAUGGGCGAAAGCCUGACGGAGCAAUACCGCGUGAGGGAUGAAUGCCUAUGGGUUGUAAACCUCUUUUUUCAGGGAGGAACAAAAUGACGUGUACCUGAAGAAUAAGCAUCGGCUAACUCCGUGCCAGCAGCCGCGGUAAGACGGAGGAUGCAAGUGUUAUCCGGAAUCACUGGGCGUAAAGCGUCUGUAGGUGGUUUACUAAGUCAACUGUUAAAUCUUGAGGCUCAACCUCGAAAUCGCAGUCGAAACUAGUAGACUAGAGUAUAGUAGGGGUAAAGGGAAUUUCCAGUGGAGCGGUGAAAUGCGUAGAGAUUGGAAAGAACACCGAUGGCGAAGGCACUUUACUGGGCUAUUACUAACACUGAGAGACGAAAGCUAGGGUAGCAAAUGGGAUUAGAUACCCAGUAGUCCUAGCUGUAAACAAUGGAUACUAGAUGUUGAACAGAUCGACCUGUGCAGUAUUAAAGCUAGCGCGUUAAGUAUCCCGCCUGGGAAGUAUGCUCGCAAGAGUGAAACUCAAAGGAAUUGACG